AAAAAAAUAAAAAAUAAAAAGCAGAAGAAACAAACAAUAGGUACAUUCCUAUAGAGACAAAUUUCUCAUACCACAAAGACUAAUUGCAAUAAAGUUCCAUCUGAACAAAAGAAAAAGUGGCAACCCACUCAAGAAUUAAGACUUAAAAAAAUAAUUGGAGUUUAUCUACAUGGUUAACCAAUAAAAGAGAUUCUGAAAGAGAAAAAAUCAAAUAUCAAUCUCAAAAUACUGCAACAAUGAACAUAAUAAAAAACUGCAGCAAUAAACAAAAAUGAACAAUAAAGAAUAAAAACAAAUCCCGCCUUAACAACACCUAUUUUUUUCAAAUUCCAAGUAGCACCAUCAAUCUCGGUUUCAGUUUUUAGCACAAGUCAGGAAAUCAUAGCAUAACAAUCAUAGCAAGCACAAUAUCAUCCCAUAACAAAUCACAACACUAUUAAUCUUUUUACCCAACAUCGUCAUAUAACUUCCACAACUUUGCUUUCUUUCAAUAAAGUGCUUAGCAUCACCAAUUACAGAAUCAGUAUUCAACAAGGAGAAGAAUAGCACCAAUUUUAAAUAGCCGUAAAAGAAUCAAUCAAACAUUCAUUUUGAUGGCAAACUAAUCAGUGGUCAUUAACAAGCAAACUGCCAAACACGAAGCUAAUUUAAGUGACAACAAAUAGAAUAUAAAUCACAGAACUAACUUUGUAGAGCAUGUAGUCUGCAAACUGUGAUACCAAACAAUGGAUACCCAAAUGAAAAUGGCUGGACGAGGUGUAGCACUAUCAAAAAUAUUGACAAGCGUGGUGCUGAAGGGAAGAGUUGGGCACUCCAAAUGACUCUUGUCCCUUGUUAUUGUCGAUGAAGAGCUUCAUCCAGAUUGGGUGGCAAAAUCGCAUCUAAAUGGGUCUAUUAGUGAAUGGGUGACUUUGAGAAUGUUGAGCCUGGGUUUCAAAUUUUAUGUGAUGCAUGAGUUUUGCGAUUGCCUAAUUAGCAUUGUGAAAUGGGAAGUGAGGCACUUUUUGGAAGGAAUGUAGGUGAUUGUGAAGUGGGAUUUGUAGAUGUGAAAACAGGGAAGGAAGACUGCUGUGCGUGAGUUGCUUCUAAAAGAGAAAGUGGGCGGAGAGUCAUCGUUUUGAGAGUUUCAAAGACUCUCUCUUUUUUUCAUACUUGCCUUUCUUAAAAUUGCGCCCCCCUCCUUUUGAAUAGAGAAAAAUGGUAUUUAUAAAGAAGUAAAACCCUAAAAGAAAGGGUCAAAAUUUAAGAUGCCAA
This 1254-nucleotide unclassified non-coding RNA is filed under the name Hevea brasiliensis (rubber tree). Lineage: Eukaryota; Viridiplantae; Streptophyta; Magnoliopsida; Malpighiales; Euphorbiaceae. The record is from RNAcentral.